Molecule: ribosomal RNA, 427 nt
Filed under: Salmonella enterica subsp. enterica serovar Virchow
Lineage: Bacteria; Pseudomonadati; Pseudomonadota; Gammaproteobacteria; Enterobacterales; Enterobacteriaceae
Also listed under: 2 other names
Description: partial 16S ribosomal RNA
Rfam family: Bacterial small subunit ribosomal RNA
Source: RNAcentral
CCAGCGAUUAGGUCGGGAACUCAAAGGAGACUGCCAGUGAUAAACUGGAGGAAGGUGGGGAUGACGUCAAGUCAUCAUGGCCCUUACGACCAGGGCUACACACGUGCUACAAUGGCGCAUACAAAGAGAAGCGACCUCGCGAGAGCAAGCGGACCUCAUAAAGUGCGUCGUAGUCCGGAUUGGAGUCUGCAACUCGACUCCAUGAAGUCGGAAUCGCUAGUAAUCGUGGAUCAGAAUGCCACGGUGAAUACGUUCCCGGGCCUUGUACACACCGCCCGUCACACCAUGGGAGUGGGUUGCAAAAGAAGUAGGUAGCUUAACCUUCGGGAGGGCGCUUACCACUUUGUGAUUCAUGACUGGGGUGAAGUCGUAACAAGGUAACCGUAGGGGAACCUGCGGUUGGAUCACCUCCUUACCUUAAAGAAGC